This 915-nucleotide ribosomal RNA is filed under the name uncultured Morganella. RNAcentral's name for it is "partial 18S ribosomal RNA". It matches the Rfam family "Eukaryotic large subunit ribosomal RNA", at positions 45 to 943 of the family's 3401-position model. Lineage: Eukaryota; Fungi; Basidiomycota; Agaricomycetes; Agaricales; Lycoperdaceae. The record is from RNAcentral.
CAUAAGGGAGGAAAAGAAACUAACAAAGGAUUCCCCUUAGUAACUGCGAAGUGAAAGCGGGAAAAGCUCAAAUUUAAAAUCUGGCAGUCUAUGGCUGUCCGAGUUGUAAUCUAGAGAAGUGAUGCCCGCGCUGGACCGUGUACAAGUCUCCUGGAAUGGAGCGUCAUAGAGGGUGAGAAUCCCGUCUCUGACACGGACUACCAGGGCUUUGUGGUAUGCUCUCAAAGAGUCGAGUUGUUUGGGAAUGCAGCUCUAAAUGGGUGGUAAAUUCCAUCUAAAGCUAAAUAUUGGCGAGAGACCGAUAGCGAACAAGUACCGUGAGGGAAAGAUGAAAAGAACUUUGGAAAGAGAGUUAAACAGUACGUGAAAUUGCUGAAAGGGAAACGCUUGAAGUCAGUCGUGUUAGCUGGGAAUCAGCCUUGCUUGUUGCUUGGUGUACUUUCUGGUUGACGGGUCAGCAUCAAUUUUGACUGCUGGAAAAAGGCCUUGGGAAUGUGGCAGCUUUGGCUGUGUUAUAGCCCUUGGUCACAUACAGCAGUUGGGAUUGAGGAACUCAGCACGCCGCAAGGCCGGGUUUCGACCACGUUCGUGCUUAGGAUGCUGGCAUAAUGGCUUUAAGCGACCCGUCUUGAAACACGGACCAAGGAGUCUAACAUGCCUGCGAGUGUUUGGGUGGUAAACCCUUGCGCGUAAUGAAAGUGAAAGUUGAGAUCCCUGUCGUGGGGAGCAUCGACGCCCGGACUUGAACUUUUGUGACGGAUCCGCGGUAGAGCAUGUAUGUUGGGACCCGAAAGAUGGUGAACUAUGCCUGAAUAGGGUGAAGCCAGAGGAAACUCUGGUGGAGGCUCGUAGCGAUUCUGACGUGCAAAUCGAUCGUCAAAUUUGGGUAUAGGGGGCGAAAGACUAAUCGAACAU